UUUCCGUAGGUGAACCUGCGGAAGGAUCAUUAAAGAGUAAGGGUCUUCUAGGCCCGACCUCCCAACCCUUUGUUUACCAAACCAUUGUUGCUUCGGCGGGCCCGUCCCAGGACCGCCGGAGGACCGUCAAACGUCCUCUGGCCCGCGCCCGUCGAUGGCCCCUAUCAUUAAACUCUGAACCAAACGUGUCCAGUCUGAGUGAUUAUUAUCAAAAAUUAAAGCAAAACUUUCAACAACGGAUCUCUUGGUUCUG
This 253-nucleotide unclassified non-coding RNA is filed under the name plant metagenome. RNAcentral describes it as "partial contains small subunit ribosomal RNA, internal transcribed spacer 1, and 5.8S ribosomal RNA". The record is from RNAcentral.